CAGCAGCCGCGGGAAUACGGAGGGUGCAAGCGUUAAUCGGAAUUACUGGGCGUAAAGCGCACGCAGGCGGUCUGACAAGUCAGAUGUGAAAUCCCCGGGCUUAACCUGGGAACUGCAUUUGAAACUGUCAGGCUGGAGUCUUGUAGAGGGGGGUGGAAUUCCAGGUGUAGCGGUGAAAUGCGUAGAGAUCUGGAGGAAUACCGGUGGCGAAGGCGGCCCCCUGGACAGAGACUGACGCUCAGGUGCGAAAGCGUGGGGAGCAAACAGGAUUAGAUACCCCGGUAGUCCCUGUCUCUUAUAC
Molecule: ribosomal RNA, 301 nt
Filed under: uncultured bacterium
Lineage: Bacteria
Description: partial 16S ribosomal RNA
Rfam family: Bacterial small subunit ribosomal RNA
Source: RNAcentral